AGGCUUGUAGUUUAUAAAAAGAAUUUUUGAUUUGCAGUUAAAUGGAGCUAGAAAGUUAGGUCUA
Molecule: transfer RNA, 64 nt
Filed under: Xystodesmus sp. YD-2016
Lineage: Eukaryota; Metazoa; Arthropoda; Diplopoda; Polydesmida; Xystodesmidae
Description: tRNA-Ala
Source: RNAcentral